This 1524-nucleotide long non-coding RNA is filed under the name Monodelphis domestica (gray short-tailed opossum). RNAcentral's name for it is "lncRNA (ENSMODG00000047203.1)". The record is from RNAcentral. Lineage: Eukaryota; Metazoa; Chordata; Mammalia; Didelphimorphia; Didelphidae.
AUGACGGAGUCGAGUGAGCUCUGUCAGCACCCGCGCCUGCAUCCGUUGGUACAGGUCUUCUCAGGCUUCUCGGAGCACGUCACAUCCCCCGGCUCUCACGGCAGGCUCGCGUCCCCGGGCUGCUCCCUUCGGCAGGCUCGCGUCCCCGGGCUGCUCCCCUCGGCAGGCUCGCGUCCCCGGGCUGCUCCCUUCGGCAGGCUCGCGUCCCCGGGCUGCUCCCCUCGGCAGGCUCGCGUCCCCGGGCUGCUCCCUUCGGCAGGCUCGCGUCCCCGGGCUGCUCCCUUCGGCAGGCUCGCGUCCCCGGGCUGCUCCCCUCGGCAGGCUCGCGUCCCCGGGCUGCUCCCCUCGGCAGGCUCGCGUCCCCGGGCUGCUCCCUUCGGCAGGCUCGCGUCCCCGGGCUGCUCCCUUCGGCAGGCUCGCGUCCCCGGGCUGCUCCCUUCGGCAGGCUCGCGUCCCCGGGCUGCUCCCUUCGGCAGGCUCGCGUCCCCGGGCUGCUCCCCUCGGCAGGCUCGCGUCCCCGGGCUGCUCCCCUCGGCAGGCUCGCGUCCCCGGGCUGCUCCCCUCGGCAGGCUCGCGUCCCCGGGCUGCUCCCUUCGGCAGGCUCGCGUCCCCGGGCUGCUCUCCUCGGCAGGCUCGCGUCCCCGGGCUGCUCCCCUCGGCAGGCUCGCGUCCCCGGGCUGCUCCCCUCGGCAGGCUCGCGUCCCCGGGCUGCUCCCCUCGGCAGGCUCGCGUCCCCGGGCUGCUCCCUUCGGCAGGCUCGCGUCCCCGGGCUGCUCUCCUCGGCAGGCUCGCGUCCCCGGGCUGCUCCCCUCGGCAGGCUCGCGUCCCCGGGCUGCUCUUUUAGGCAGGCUCGCGUCCCCGGGCUGCUCCCCUCGGCAGGCUCGCGUCCCCGGGCUGCUCCCUUCGGCAGGCUCGCGUCCCCGGGCUGCUCUCCUCGGCAGGCUCGCGUCCCCGGGCUGCUCCCCUCGGCAGGCUCGCGUCCCCGGGCUGCUCCCCUCGGCAGGCUCGCGUCCCCGGGCUGCUCCCCUCGGCAGGCUCGCGUCCCCGGGCUGCUCUUUUAGGCAGGCUCGCGUCCCCGGGCUGCUCCCCUCGGCAGGCUCGCGUCCCCGGGCUGCUCCCCUCGGCAGGCUCGCGUCCCCGGGCUGCUCCCUUCGGCAGGCUCGCGUCCCCGGGCUGCUCCCCUCGGCAGGCUCGCGUCCCCGGGCUGCUCUUUUAGGCAGGCUCGCGUCCCCGGGCUGCUCCCCUCGGCAGGCUCGCGUCCCCGGGCUGCUCUCCUCGGCAGGCUCGCGUCCCCGGGCUGCUCCCUUCGGCAGGCUCGCGUCCCAGGGCUGCUCUCUUCAAGCCGGGUUCGGCCAUUCCCCAGCUGAUGGCUCGUUCUGUUCUUCGCCACAACAAAACCGCCGCUCUGGGCUUCGCGCCCUCCGGCAGCCAUCUUGGCCUUUGUGGUCUCCAGGCGCGUGGAAAGGCCCUCAGAGCACCAGGAAGCCGAGCCAAAGGCGACCCGUGGACAAGCUGGCCACGUAA